UACGAGAGCCCCAAGCGUUAUCCGGAAUUACUGGGCGUAAAGGGUGCGUAGGUUGCGUUGUUAGUCUUUUGUCAAAACCCCAAGCUCAACUUGGGAUCGGCACGGGAAACGGCAAUGCUAGAAAGUGUGAGAGGUGUACGGAACUCAUGGUGUAGGGAUGAAAUCCGUUGAUAUCAUGGGGAACACCGAAAGCGAAGGCAGUACACUGGCACAUAUUUGACACUGAAGCACGAAAGCGUGGGUAGCGAAUGGG
RNAcentral lists this ribosomal RNA (253 nucleotides) under uncultured bacterium. RNAcentral's name for it is "partial 16S ribosomal RNA". It matches the Rfam family "Bacterial small subunit ribosomal RNA", at positions 524 to 776 of the family's 1533-position model. The record is from RNAcentral.